UACGUAGGGUGCGAGCGUUGCCCGGAUUCAUUGGGCGUAAAGGGCGCGUAGGCGGUCACGCACGUCCGUUGUGAAAUCGCUCGGCUCAACUGGGCGGGGUCAGCGGAUACGGCGUGGCUGGAGCAAGCUAGGGGGCAAUGGAAUUCCCGGUGUAGUGGUGGAAUGCGUAGAUAUCGGGAGGAACACCAGUGGCGAAGGCGGUUGCCUGGAGCUUUGCUGACGCUGAUGCGCGAAAGCGUGGGGAGCGAUCCGG
Molecule: ribosomal RNA, 253 nt
Filed under: uncultured bacterium
Lineage: Bacteria
Description: partial 16S ribosomal RNA
Rfam family: Bacterial small subunit ribosomal RNA
Source: RNAcentral